RNAcentral lists this ribosomal RNA (1947 nucleotides) under Triticum aestivum (bread wheat). RNAcentral describes it as "partial small subunit ribosomal RNA". The record is from RNAcentral. Lineage: Eukaryota; Viridiplantae; Streptophyta; Magnoliopsida; Poales; Poaceae.
AUGGUGGGGAACAGGCGGCUGGAGCUGCAGGAGAGGGACAGGAGGCGGCGGCAGCUGCAGGAGAGCGCGUGGCGGGAGGAGCAGGAGCGGGAGAGCAGGGAGGCGGCGGCGGCCGCCGCCAUGGCGGCGGCGGACAAGGAGAGGGCCAGGGAGAAGGGGAAGGAGAAGGAGAAUGGUGGAGAGGGCGGCAAGUUUGGCCAGCAAUUCGCCAGGGUGUUCCUACCGCAGCUCUACGGGGAGAGAUUGAAAAUUCCACCAUCAUUCAACCAGUACCUUCAGGAUCAGCCUACUGGAGUGGUUUCUCUAAAAGGUCAAAGUGGCAACACAUGGCUUGCAGAGCUGGCUUCAGACAAUGAAGGAUUGUUCUUUGUGAAGGGAUGGAAGGAAUUUGUCAGAGACCAUUCAAUUGAGAUGGGUCACUUCUUAACCUUCCGUUAUGAUGGACGCUCAAAAUUCUCAGUGGUUAUCUUUGAUGGAAUGUGCAUUGAGAAGCCUUCAGCUUUUCAUGCUAAGCCUUGCAAGAAUCUGGUUGUUAAAAUAGAAAGUGGUAAAGGGGACAUGGACAUCAAUGCAGCUGAUCCAUCACAAGCAUCGGCUGCCCCCUUGGAGGAGAGUAAUGGAACCACUAGGAAGAGGGUUACAGAAAUGGAUGCAGAUGGCUCUACAUCGAAGAACCGCUCUAGUAUCUUGGAAAACGGUAUGCCUGAAGCUUCGGCUGUUACAUGUAACGUGGCACCAACGAGCCUUAACGUGGACAUGAAUGCAGCUGACCCACCAGAGGCAGUGGUUGUUCCCUUAGAAGAGAGCAACCAAACCACUAGGAAGAGGAUUAGAGAAAUCGAUGCAAAUGACUCUGCAUUGCAGAAGUCCUUGAGGGUUAGAGAAAUCGAUGCAAAUGGCUCUGCAUUGCAGAAGUCCUUGAGGGUUAGAGAAAUCGAUGCAAAUGACUCUGCAUUGCAAAAGUCCUCGAGGGUUAGAGAAAUCGAUGCAAAUGACUCUGCAUUGCAGUCCUCGAGGGUUAGAGAAAUCGAUGCAAAUGAGACUGCAUUGCACAAGUCCUCGAGGGUUAGAGAAAUUGAUGCAAAUGACUCUGCAUUGCACAAGUCCUCGAGGGUUAGAGAAAUCGAUGCAAAUGACUCUGCAUUGCACAAGUCCUCGAGGGUUAGAGAAAUCGAUGCAAAUGACUCGGCAUUGCAGAAGUCCUCGAGGGUUAGAGAAAUCGAUGCAAAUGACUCUUCGUUGCAGAAGUCCUCAGGGCUUAGAGAAAUCGAUGCAAAUGACUCUGCAUUGCAGAAGUCCUCUAUUGCCUCAGACAAGGAUAAGAAAAGGUGUCCUGCAGCUUCAGUCGGUACUUACAAGUCAGCUUCAACAAGUCUUGACAGUACUGAAGAUUCUGAUUCCUCAAGCAGCAUGUUAGAACAAAGUAUCUCUUGCAUCAAGUCUGAAUUGACAUCACCCAUUCGGCUCGGAGUGAGUAAGGAUGUUGCUAGACGUGGUCAAAAUAGCGCGACGGGUAAGAGACAACUAAGAGUACUAUCACAAAGGCGACUGGUAACUGAAAUACAGAAGGACAAUGCUCUGCUAAGGGCAAAACAAUUUAAAUCCAAGAAUCCUUUCGGUCUUCAAAUAAUGAAGGAGUCUUAUGUAUAUGUGGGAUUUUUCUUGAAUCUACCCUGUGAAUUUGUAAGGGAGUGUCUUCCCCGUGCCCACAGGAAGUUAAAGCUCUGGAAUCCGCAAGGAAAGUCUUGGGAUGUUAACUAUGUCUACUACAGCGAACGCUGUGUUGGCGGUUUGAGUGGUGGCUGGGGCAAGUUUUCUCUAGACAAUAAUCUGGAGAAGUUCGACGUGUGCGUCUUCGAGCUCUUCUCGAAGGACAACAUAAAAGUACACAUCUACAGAGUCGUCCCAGAAAUAACCCCAUUCCUCCCUGGUCCUGGCAAGAAAUAA